GACGAACGCUGGCGGCGUGCUUAACACAUGCAAGUCGAACGGAAAGGCCCUGCUUUUGUGGGUUGCUCGAGUGGCGAAGGGGUGAGUAACACACGAGUAACCUGUCCUUGACUUUGGGAUAACUUCAGGAAAAUGGGGCUAAUACCGGAUAGGAGCUCCUGCUGCAUGGGGGUGGUUGGAAAGUUUCGGCGGUUGGGGCUGUACUGGAGGCUUAUGAGCUGGUUGGGCAGGUAGUGGCUUACCAGGGCUUUGAAGGGUAGCCGGCCUGGGAGGGUUACCGGCCACAUUGGGACUGCGGUACGGCCCAGACUCCAACGGGAGGCAGCAGGGGGGAAUAUUGCACAAUGGGCGGAAGCCUGAUGCAGCAACGCCGCGUGCGGGAUGACGGCCUUCGAGUUGUAAACCGAUUUCGCCUGUGACGAAGCGUGAGUGACGGUAAUGGGUAAAGAAGCACCGGCUAACUACGUG
Molecule: ribosomal RNA, 468 nt
Filed under: uncultured bacterium
Lineage: Bacteria
Description: partial 16S ribosomal RNA
Rfam family: Bacterial small subunit ribosomal RNA
Source: RNAcentral